UCGCAGUGGGGGUUUAGUCUUUAAAAAG
This 28-nucleotide small RNA is filed under the name Bombyx mori (domestic silkworm). Its description in RNAcentral is "ovarian small RNA-28607". Lineage: Eukaryota; Metazoa; Arthropoda; Insecta; Lepidoptera; Bombycidae. The record is from RNAcentral.